GUCGAGCGGAUGAAAGGAGCUUGCUCCUGGAUUCAGCGGCGGACGGGUGAGUAAUGCCUAGGAAUCUGCCUGGUAGUGGGGGACAACGUUUCGAAAGGAACGCUAAUACCGCAUACGUCCUACGGGAGAAAGCAGGGGACCUUCGGGCCUUGCGCUAUCAGAUGAGCCUAGGUCGGAUUAGCUAGUUGGUGAGGUAAUGGCUCACCAAGGCGACGAUCCGUAACUGGUCUGAGAGGAUGAUCAGUCACACUGGAACUGAGACACGGUCCAGACUCCUACGGGAGGCAGCAGUGGGGAAUAUUGGACAAUGGGCGAAAGCCUGAUCCAGCCAUGCCGCGUGUGUGAAGAAGGUCUUCGGAUUGUAAAGCACUUUAAGUUGGGAGGAAGGGUUGUAGAUUAAUACUCUGCAAUUUUGACGUUACCGACAGAAUAAGCACCGGCUAACUCUGUGCCAGCAGCCGCGGUAAUACAGAGGGUGCAAGCGUUAAUCGGAAUUACUGGGCGUAAAGCGCGCGUAGGUGGUUCGUUAAGUUGGAUGUGAAAUCCCCGGGCUCAACCUGGGAACUGCAUUCAAAACUGUCGAGCUAGAGUAUGGUAGAGGGUGGUGGAAUUUCCUGUGUAGCGGUGAAAUGCGUAGAUAUAGGAAGGAACACCAGUGGCGAAGGCGACCACCUGGACUGAUACUGACACUGAGGUGCGAAAGCGUGGGGAGC
RNAcentral lists this ribosomal RNA (713 nucleotides) under Pseudomonas sp. RNAcentral describes it as "bacterial SSU rRNA". It matches the Rfam family "Bacterial small subunit ribosomal RNA", at positions 61 to 769 of the family's 1533-position model. Lineage: Bacteria; Pseudomonadati; Pseudomonadota; Gammaproteobacteria; Pseudomonadales; Pseudomonadaceae. The record is from RNAcentral.